Small nuclear RNA from Molossus molossus (Pallas's mastiff bat), 190 nucleotides. RefSeq annotates it as U2 spliceosomal RNA. The record is from RefSeq and is a predicted model, not a curated record. The transcript has a single exon. Lineage: Eukaryota; Metazoa; Chordata; Mammalia; Chiroptera; Molossidae.
AGCGCUUCUUGGCCUUUUGGGUAAGAUCAAGUGUAGUGUCUGUUCUUGUCAGUUUAAUAUCUGAUAUGUCCUCUAUCCGAGGACAAGAUAUUGGAUGGGUUUUGGGGAUUGGAGAUGGACUAGGAGCUUGCUCCAUCCACUCCACACAUCGACUUGAUAUUGCAGUACUUCUGGGAAUGGUGCACCCCUC